GGGAGGCUCGAAAGGAUAUCCAUCUACAAAAUGAAUCAAGCAUCAGAAAUGCGAGUUAACAGAAGAUCUUUUAUUUUUUAACCUCCUAUUCUGUAAAUAUAUCAGCCAAUAAAGCAAACAAUUAGCUAGAAGUAAUGAUAAUCUCUGGGAGGAAAAAAAAGUUGCCCAACAUUUGACCAAUUAUAUAGUCCUUUAUCCUGAAUUCUGACAACCAAACAAUUAGGCCAACUGCACGUGCAUUCAACAGUCAACAGAUUGCUAAAACCAUUAUCUGAUAUAGCCCAAAAUCUAAAUCCACUUGAAACCCUAAACCCACAUGAAAAAUUUAUCCAGUCUUUAAGAGCAAAAGUAGCAGAUAUACAUUUAAAACCAAACCCAUAAAAAACCAUCACAACAAAUAAAGAAAUGAAUUCAAUUUCUCAAGCAAGUUACUUUAUUUCAGAAUUUUCUUUUUCUUCUAAUGACAAAACAUAAAAAAAAAAAUUUAAAUGCAACUCAAUUAAGAGAAAACCCAACAAAAUUAGCAUAAAAGCAAAAACUAAAUGAACAGAGAAACAAAUUAAACCGAGGGACAUAAAACAGAAACUGUGAAGGAACGAUUGUGUGUGCAUAUACCCGGAAGUGAAAUGUCAAUUUGGA
Molecule: unclassified non-coding RNA, 639 nt
Filed under: Hevea brasiliensis (rubber tree)
Lineage: Eukaryota; Viridiplantae; Streptophyta; Magnoliopsida; Malpighiales; Euphorbiaceae
Source: RNAcentral